Molecule: ribosomal RNA, 440 nt
Filed under: uncultured bacterium
Lineage: Bacteria
Description: partial 16S ribosomal RNA
Rfam family: Bacterial small subunit ribosomal RNA
Source: RNAcentral
CCUACGGGGGGCAGCAGUGGGGGAUAUUGCACAAUGGGGGGAACCCUGAUGCAGCGACGCCGCGUGGGUGAAGAAGCGCCUCGGCGCGUAAAGCCCUGUCAGCAGGGAAGAAAAUGACGGUACCUGAAGAAGAAGCCCCGGCUAACUACGUGCCAGCAGCCGCGGUAAUACGUAGGGGGCAAGCGUUAGCCGGAUUUACUGGGUGUAAAGGGGGCGCAGACGGCGAUGCAAGCCGGGAGUGAAAGCCCGGGGCGCAACCCCGGGACUGCGCUUGGAACUGCGUGGCUGGAGUGCAGGAGGGGCAGGUGGAAUUCCUGGUGUAGCGGUGAAAUGCGUAGAUAUCACGCAGAACUCCGAUUGCGAAGGCAGCAUACCGGCGCGCAACUGACGCUCAUGCACGAAAGCGUGGGUAUCGAACAGGAUUAGAUACCCGAGUAGUC